RNAcentral lists this ribosomal RNA (253 nucleotides) under uncultured bacterium. Its description in RNAcentral is "partial 16S ribosomal RNA". It matches the Rfam family "Bacterial small subunit ribosomal RNA", at positions 524 to 776 of the family's 1533-position model. The record is from RNAcentral.
UACGUAGGGUGCGAGCGUUAAUCGGAAUUACUGGGCGUAAAGCGUGCGCAGGCGGUUCGUUAUGUCCGAUGUGAAAGCCCCGAGCUCAACUUGGGAAUGGCAUUGGAAACUGGCUCGCUGGAGUGUGGCAGAGGGGGGUGGAAUUCCGCGUGUAGCAGUGAAAUGCGUAGAGAUGCGGAGGAACACCGAUGGCGAAGGCAGCCCCCUGGGCUAACACUGACGCUCAGGCACGAAAGCGUGGGGAGCAAACAGG